This 253-nucleotide ribosomal RNA is filed under the name uncultured bacterium. Its description in RNAcentral is "partial 16S ribosomal RNA". It matches the Rfam family "Bacterial small subunit ribosomal RNA", at positions 524 to 776 of the family's 1533-position model. The record is from RNAcentral.
UACGGGGGGGGCAAGCGUUGUUCGGAAUUACUGGGCGUAAAGGGCUCGUAGGCGGCCAACUAAGUCAGACGUGAAAUCCCGGGGCUCAACCCCGGAACUGCCUUUGAUACUGGGUAUCUCGAGUCCGGAAGAGGCGAGUGGAAUUCCUGGUGUAGCGGUGAAAUGCGCAGAUAUCAGGAGGAACACCAAUGGCGAAGGCAGCUCGCUGGGACGGUACUGACGCUGAGGCGCGAAAGCGUGGGGAGCAAACAGG